UGACCCCACUUGAACUGCUUGUGAACUGC
This 29-nucleotide non-coding RNA is filed under the name Homo sapiens (human). Lineage: Eukaryota; Metazoa; Chordata; Mammalia; Primates; Hominidae. The record is from RNAcentral.